UGAACGCUGGCGGCGUGCCUAAUACAUGCACGUCGAGCGAACGGACGAGAAGCUUGCUUCUCUGAUGUUAGCGGCGGACGGGUGAGUAACACGUGGAUAACCUACCUAUAAGACUGGGAUAACCUCGGGAAACCGGAGCUAAUACCGGAUAAUAUUUUGAACCGCAUGGUUCAAAAGUGAAAGACGGUCUUGCUGUCACUUAUAGAUGGAUCCGCGCUGCAUUAGCUAGUUGGUAAGGUAACGGCUUACCAAGGCAACGAUGCAUAGCCGACCUGAGAGGGUGAUCGGCCACACUGGAACUGAGACACGGUCCAGACUCCUACGGGAGGCAGCAGUAGGGAAUCUUCCGCAAUGGGCGAAAGCCUGACGGAGCAACGCCGCGUGAGUGAUGAAGGUCUUCGGAUCGUAAAACUCUGUUAUUAGGGAAGAACAUAUGUGUAAGUAACUGUGCACAUCUUGACGGUACCUAAUCAGAAAGCCACGGCUAACUACGUG
RNAcentral lists this ribosomal RNA (495 nucleotides) under uncultured bacterium. Its description in RNAcentral is "partial 16S ribosomal RNA". It matches the Rfam family "Bacterial small subunit ribosomal RNA", at positions 30 to 507 of the family's 1533-position model. The record is from RNAcentral.